GAUGAACGCUGGCGGCGUGCCUAAUACAUGCAAGUCGAGCGAACGGACGAGAAGCUUGCUUCUCUGAUGUUAGCGGCGGACGGGUGAGUAACACGUGGAUAACCUACCUAUAAGACUGGGAUAACUUCGGGAAACCGGAGCUAAUACCGGAUGAUAUUUUGAACCGCAUGGUUCAAAAGUGAAAGACGGUCUUGCUGUCACUUAUAGAUGGAUCCGCGCUGCAUUAGCUAGUUGGUAAGGUAACGGCUUACCAAGGCAACGAUGCAUAGCCGACCUGAGAGGGUGAUCGGCCACACUGGAACUGAGACACGGUCCAGACUCCUACGGGAGGCAGCAGUAGGGAAUCUUACGCAAUGGGCGAGAGCCUGACGGAGCAACGCCGCGUGAGUGAUGAAGGUCUUCGGAUCGUAAAACUCUGUUAUUAGGGAAGAACAUAUGUGUAAGUAACUGUGCACAUCUUGACGGUACCUAAUCAGAAAGCCACGGCUAACUACGUG
RNAcentral lists this ribosomal RNA (497 nucleotides) under uncultured bacterium. RNAcentral describes it as "partial 16S ribosomal RNA". It matches the Rfam family "Bacterial small subunit ribosomal RNA", at positions 28 to 507 of the family's 1533-position model. The record is from RNAcentral.